RNAcentral lists this ribosomal RNA (610 nucleotides) under Klebsiella aerogenes. RNAcentral's name for it is "bacterial SSU rRNA". It matches the Rfam family "Bacterial small subunit ribosomal RNA", at positions 558 to 1168 of the family's 1533-position model. The record is from RNAcentral. Lineage: Bacteria; Pseudomonadati; Pseudomonadota; Gammaproteobacteria; Enterobacterales; Enterobacteriaceae.
GCGUAAAGCGCACGCAGGCGGUCUGUCAAGUCGGAUGUGAAAUCCCCGGGCUCAACCUGGGAACUGCAUUCGAAACUGGCAGGCUAGAGUCUUGUAGAGGGGGGUAGAAUUCCAGGUGUAGCGGUGAAAUGCGUAGAGAUCUGGAGGAAUACCGGUGGCGAAGGCGGCCCCCUGGACAAAGACUGACGCUCAGGUGCGAAAGCGUGGGGAGCAAACAGGAUUAGAUACCCUGGUAGUCCACGCCGUAAACGAUGUCGACUUGGAGGUUGUGCCCUUGAGGCGUGGCUUCCGGAGCUAACGCGUUAAGUCGACCGCCUGGGGAGUACGGCCGCAAGGUUAAAACUCAAAUGAAUUGACGGGGGCCCGCACAAGCGGUGGAGCAUGUGGUUUAAUUCGAUGCAACGCGAAGAACCUUACCUACUCUUGACAUCCAGAGAACUUAGCAGAGAUGCUUUGGUGCCUUCGGGAACUCUGAGACAGGUGCUGCAUGGCUGUCGUCAGCUCGUGUUGUGAAAUGUUGGGUUAAGUCCCGCAACGAGCGCAACCCUUAUCCUUUGUUGCCAGCGGUUAGGCCGGGAACUCAAAGGAGACUGCCAGUGAUAAACUGGAG